CCUACGGGAGGCAGCAGUGGGGAAUAUUGGGCAAUGGGCGCAAGCCUGAUCCAGCAACGCCGCGUGAAUGAAGCAGGCUUUCGGCUUGUAAACUUCUUUUCUCAGGGACGAAGAAAGUGACGGUACCUGAGGAAUAAGCCACGGCUAACUACGUGCCAGCAGCCGCGGUACUACGUAGGUGGCAAGCGUUAUCCGGCUUUAGUGGGUGUAAAGGGCGUGUAGGCGGUAGCGCAAGUCAGAUGUGAAAACUCAGGGCUCAACCCUGAGCCUGCAUUUGAAACUGCGUUUCGUGAGUGCUGGAGGGGCAAUCGGAAGUCCGUGUGUAGCGGUGAAAGGCGUAGAUAUACGGAGGAACACCAGUGGCGAAGGCGGAUUGCUGGACAGUAACUGACGCUGAGGCGCGAAAGCGUGGGGAGCAAACAGGAUUAGAUACCCUGGUAGUC
RNAcentral lists this ribosomal RNA (443 nucleotides) under uncultured bacterium. RNAcentral describes it as "partial 16S ribosomal RNA". It matches the Rfam family "Bacterial small subunit ribosomal RNA", at positions 338 to 795 of the family's 1533-position model. The record is from RNAcentral.